CCGAAGCCCCGCCCUGCCGCCCUCGAAGCCUCUGUCAGCGAACGAGCGCGCGCAAUAGCGCGGGGCAGGGGUCGCCGCGGCCGGAAGCCCACGCGGGGGGUUGCAGGGACGGGUCGUAAGGGGCGGGGCGGGCCUCGAGGAGGCGGCGGUGGGGUCCCCGGACCUCCGCGCGUGGCACAGCCCGCAUCCUGAACUGACUCCCACUCGAGGACCACCUCUCCUCUCCCUUCUGAGGGCGGAACGGAAAGGCCAAGCGCCUCCUCGCCUCGGGAGCUGCAGGACGCCCUAAUUCAGCCGAGUCGCCGCGUGCCCGGGUGCCCGCGAACAGCAGGAGAGAGGACGGGCGCUGGCCCCACAGGGGUCGCUUUACCCCUUGAAGAGCUCCUCGCUGCCUGCCCUGGGGGUGGUGGGCGUCCAGGUUCACAGGGUACUUGAGCUUGCUGGGGUGGGGGUGUGUAUGAAGUGCGUCCAGGGUUUUGUGGAGCGCGUCUAGCAGUUGCUCUACUUCUUACUGACAGUGAAACAAGGGCGCCCACGACAGGUGUUCCCUUUUCGCUGUCGCUGCCAGGAAGCUUCCAGCCAGGUUCAGCGCCCAGUGGUGUCAGCCGGCCCAUCUCGAGCCUUGGUUCCGCUGUCAUCUUCUGGUGCUUAUUCUGGUGUUUAUCCAACUGUCCGUUUUGAAAUUAUGUUCCCAAGCCAUUUAACACCUCUGGAGAACCAAAGCACUGGCUGUCAGCGGAGCGGGAUGCACGCGCAGCGGAGGGGACUGGGCACGCCAACCCCACGAGGGUUCCUGCGGAGAUGACACGGACCUUGAGGUCUGAAGCCAAAGGACGAUUUGUGUGAAGGGAUUUUAUUGUUAGCUUUGGAGCCAGCAACAAGAACACAGCCCUGGAGUUCCCGGGGCAAAAAGGAUACCAAGAUAAUAAUUCAGAGUUAGCAUUAACAUUAUUAGCUGCCAGGCCAACAAAACCUUGAGUAAUCCUGCAAUACUCGGAAUCAAGAAAAGUGGCUACAUCAUGGUCAACUUUGAAGAACAUCAGCCUCAAGAUCUUUUAUACUAACUCAUAUGUUUAUUAAAAUCUAUUACUAAAACAGAUUUUUAAAAAUUAUCUUGAGGUUAUAAUGAGACAUAGUGCUUCUACCUAAUUCCUAUUGGGAAAAAAAAAUGUUGAGAUUUGGGGACCAAGAAAAAAAAUUCUGAUCGCUUUUUUUUUUUUUUUUUUUGAGAUGGUGUCUCUCUCUGUCACGCAGGCUUGGAGUGCAGUGGCAUGAUUUUGUCUCACUGCAACCUCUGCCUCCCGGGUUCAAGUGAUUCUCCUGCCCCAGCCUCCUGAGUAGCUGGAAUUUCAGGCACCCACCACCAAGCCCAGCUAAUUUUUGUAUUUUUAGUAGAGACAAGGUUUCACCAUGUUGGCCAGGCUGAUCUCAAACUCCUGACCUCAAAUGAUCCACCUGCCUUGGCCUCCCAGAGUGCUGGGACUACAGGCAUGAGCCACCGCUCCCAGCUGAUUGCUUUCAAUUAGUAUUGAUAAUAGUUUGAAACUGGGACAAGUAGCCUAGUCUUGGCAGUCUUUCUGCUCCUUAGCUCAGCUAGGUCCAAGUUCUUGUCUCACAACCAGGAAAAACUAGGCACACAGACACCGGAAAGUGAGUGGAGUGGAAUUGAUUAAGC
RNAcentral lists this long non-coding RNA (1675 nucleotides) under Homo sapiens (human). RNAcentral describes it as "HSALNT0403685". The record is from RNAcentral. Lineage: Eukaryota; Metazoa; Chordata; Mammalia; Primates; Hominidae.